UUAAUUUUUGCUCGUCUCUCUUUGGUUUCCGGAUCGGCGGGCUCGUGUCCAGUUGCUCCGGGCGGCCGAACAUAUUCAAUGACCGGCUCCCCUGCCAUCCCUAAAGGCAAUCUGGAUUUGUUUAUGAUGUUUGGCGACACAUGCCAGCAGCCCUACCAAUAGUGAAUUGCAGUCAUCCAGACACGAGAAGACAAGUUCCCUGACUGGUACCUGAGCCACUUCUUGUCUUUGGUCAACUUCUAUGAAUGGACGAACCUCCAGGAAGGACGGCAUUAUGAACUCAGCGGACCGGGAAGCCUCAACGGCAUGCUGCUUCCCUCCUGAGACUGAGUGCAGCUGCUGAUGUUGUGCCUUGUGUUUAUUGGGAGACGUCUCUCCCUUCUGUGGAGCUGUCACUUCGUUUUAUCCAGGAGCCCUGCUAAUUUUUCAAUCGUGAUGCCACGAAAUUAGCUUCAGUGUGAUGAGUGAAGCAGUGUAACGUUACUGAACUCACUGCCAUUUCAUUUGGAUAGAUUGGGGAGCCGGCAUGAAUAACAAUUAGGGAUAGUAUAAACCAGAGUGUAUAUGAAUACAGUAAGACAGCCAGAGCCGGCAUGAAUCAGGCAUAAACUCUCAUCAGAAGGGAACUGAUCAAGUCCCACCUUGAUAUCCUAGCUGUCUUAAGAUGAAUGCUCGGCACACAGGAAGCCGUUUGUGAGCGGCACUUCUCUGCCUUGAAGUAUAUCUAAUGGCGACUCAGGAGCAGUCUCUCACAAGGACACCUAGAGGCCUUUAUUUUGACGGACGCUCUAAUGGCCCUGGGUACUGACAUGGUGGUCAAUAGAGCAGCAGAAAAAAGGGAGCCGCAGAGAAAACUGCCACUUUGGUGGGGUAGCUGGGACGUGUUAUUUGAUAACUUAUUUACCAUUGUCUUUACUCACACACUUCUCACACGUUUUUUGCGGUUGACUGUGCUGUCUGUUGUAGCGCCGCGACACAUGAGCGCUGUCUACUUCUCUGACAGACUGCAGUCAGCCAAAUCUCCCUGAGAAGCGACAAAACAGUAUUUUAUGUCUCAGUGUGUAUUGUAGCUGUUAUACCAACUGUUUUUCAUCUAGGCUUCAGAUAAUGGCAGUUGUUCAGUAACAACAAUUCAAUACGUGUUCAGUACAACUCUUAUAACACAGUACUCUGAUGCAGCUUUGUGGUGAUUUUUAAGGGCUGGUAUAUAUACAUAUAUUUAUACCAUAUAUAUAUACAGCUCUGGAAAAUUAAGAGAC
Long non-coding RNA from Esox lucius (northern pike), 1259 nucleotides. RefSeq lists it as uncharacterized. Lineage: Eukaryota; Metazoa; Chordata; Actinopteri; Esociformes; Esocidae. The record is from RefSeq and is a predicted model, not a curated record. The transcript is spliced from 4 exons.